GUGCCAGCCGCCGCGGUAAUACGGAGGGCGCAAGCGUUGUUCGGAAUUACUGGGCGUAAAGCGCGUGUAGGCGGCCAGGUAAGUCGGAUGUGAAAGCCCGGGGCCCAACCCCGGAACUGCACCCGAUACUGCCUGGCUGGAGUCCCGGAGAGGAUGGCGGAAUUUCCGGUGUAGAGGUGAAAUUCGUAGAUAUCGGAAGGAACACCAGUGGCGAAGGCGGCCAUCUGGACGGUGACUGACGCUGAGACGCGAAAGCGUGGGGAGCAAACAGGAUUAGAUACCCUGGUAGUCCACGCCGUAAACGUUGGGUGCUAGACGUCGGGGGUAUUGACCCCUCCGGUGUCGAAGCUAACGCAUUAAGCACCCCGCCUGGGGAGUACGGCCGCAAGGCUAAA
This 395-nucleotide ribosomal RNA is filed under the name uncultured bacterium. RNAcentral describes it as "bacterial SSU rRNA". It matches the Rfam family "Bacterial small subunit ribosomal RNA", at positions 505 to 898 of the family's 1533-position model. The record is from RNAcentral.